GAAGCGGGAAGAGCUCAAGCUGAAAAUCUUCGGAAUUGUAGUCUAUAGGUGCAGACUCGUGCAACUUCGGGUGUAAAUCCGUUCAUGGAACUGGGUGCCAGAGAGGGUUAGAGCCCCGUCUUCGACCCUGAAUGUUGUGCGUGGCGAGCAGGCACCAGCGAGUCGGCUUGCUUGGGAAUGCAGGUCAAAAUGGGUGGUAAACUUCAUCUAAAGCUAAAUAUUGGCGAGAGACCGAUAGCGAACAAGUACUGUGAAGGAAAGAUGGAAAGAACUUUGAAAAGAGAGUGAAAAAGGGCUUGAAAUUGUUAAGAGGAGAAGUGAUUGGAGCAUAUCAUACUAUCAAAGACAAAUGGCAGGGAUUUAUCCUCGCAAUGAAGCCUUUGGUAGUUGGUCAGCAUCAGUUUGAGGUUGGGGAGACUACAUUUACCAUGAAACCUAGUGAUUGGUAAGUGGGAAACCCAGCCUGAGACUGAGGCACAAAGAACGCGCAUAGCGCCCGGCCUAAAUCCUUCUAUAUUGUAGUCCAACACUCUUCGGAGUGUUGUCUGCACUGUGGUUGAUAUUUGGGUUGCAGGACCUGCGUUCUGAAGAUGCUGGCACAAUGGCUUCAAUCAGCCCGUCUUGAAACACGGACCAAGGAGUCUAACACGUAUGCAAGUAGUAAGGUGGCAAACCUUGGAUGCGCAAUGAAAGUAAACGUAGGUGGGAUUCGUAAGAUGCACCAUCGACCGACCAGGAUCAUCUGUGAAAGGUUUGAGUAAGAGCAUAUUUGUUGGGACCCGAAAGAUGGUGAACUAUGCCUGAAUAGGGUGAAGCCAGAGGAAACUCUGGUGGAGGCUCGUAGCGGUACUGACGUGCAAAUCGUUCGUCAAAUUUGGGUAUAGCGGCGAAAGACUAAUCGAACCAUCUAGUAGCUGGUUCCCUCCG
RNAcentral lists this ribosomal RNA (927 nucleotides) under Rhodomonas irregularis. Its description in RNAcentral is "partial large subunit ribosomal RNA". It matches the Rfam family "Eukaryotic large subunit ribosomal RNA", at positions 95 to 963 of the family's 3401-position model. Lineage: Eukaryota; Cryptophyceae; Pyrenomonadales; Pyrenomonadaceae. The record is from RNAcentral.